Molecule: ribosomal RNA, 510 nt
Filed under: uncultured bacterium
Lineage: Bacteria
Description: partial 16S ribosomal RNA
Rfam family: Bacterial small subunit ribosomal RNA
Source: RNAcentral
GACGAACGCUGGCGGCGUGCUUAACACAUGCAAGUCGAACGAAGAGCGAUGGAAGCUUGCUUCUAUCAAUCUUAGUGGCGAACGGGUGAGUAACGCGUAAUCAACCUGCCCUUCAGAGGGGGACAACAGUUGGAAACGACUGCUAAUACCGCAUACGAUCUGACCUCGGCAUCGAGGAUAGAUGAAAGGUGGCCUCUAUUUAUAAGCUAUCACUGAAGGAGGGGAUUGCGUCUGAUUAGCUAGUUGGAGGGGUAACGGCCCACCAAGGCGAUGAUCAGUAGCCGGUCUGAGAGGAUGAACGGCCACAUUGGGACUGAGACACGGCCCAGACUCCUACGGGAGGCAGCAGUGGGGAAUCUUCCGCAAUGGAGGAAAGUCUGACGGAGCAACGCCGCGUGAGUGAUGACGGCCUUCGGGUUGUAAAGCUCUGUUAAUCGGGACGAAAGGCCUUCUUGCGAAUAGUUAGAAGGAUUGACGGUACCGGAAUAGAAAGCAACGGCUAACUACGUG